CCUACGGGUGGCAGCAGUGAGGAAUAUUGGUCAAUGGUAGAGAUCCUGAACCAGCCAAGCCGCGUGAGGGAGGACGGUCCUGUGUGUUGUAAACCUCUUUUGUCGGAGAACAAAGCCCGGGACGUGUCCCCGGCUGCGUGUACCCGAAGAAAAAGCAUCGGCUAACUCCGUGCCAGCAGCCGCGGUAAUACGGAGGAUGCGAGCGUUAUCCGGAUUUAUUGGGUUUAAAGGGUGCGUAGGCGGUCCGUUAAGUCAGCGGUAAAAUCGCGGGGCUCAACCCCGGCGCGCCGUUGAAACUGGCAGACUCGAGUUGGAGAGAAGUACGCGGAAUGCGCGGUGUAGCGGUGAAAUGCAUAGAUAUCGCGCAGAACUCCGAUUGCGAAGGCAGCAUGCCGGCGCCACACUGACGCUGAGGCACGAAAGCGUGGGUAUCGAACAGGAUUAGAUACCCGUGUAGUC
RNAcentral lists this ribosomal RNA (459 nucleotides) under uncultured bacterium. Its description in RNAcentral is "partial 16S ribosomal RNA". It matches the Rfam family "Bacterial small subunit ribosomal RNA", at positions 338 to 795 of the family's 1533-position model. The record is from RNAcentral.